RNAcentral lists this ribosomal RNA (429 nucleotides) under uncultured bacterium. RNAcentral's name for it is "bacterial SSU rRNA". It matches the Rfam family "Bacterial small subunit ribosomal RNA", at positions 61 to 490 of the family's 1533-position model. The record is from RNAcentral.
GUCGAACGAAGCGCUUAAACGGAUUUCUUCGGAUUGAAGUUUUUGCGACUGAGUGGCGGACGGGUGAGUAACGCGUGGGUAACCUGCCUCAUACAGGGGGAUAACAGUUAGAAAUGACUGCUAAUACCGCAUAAGCGCACAGUGCUGCAUGGCACAGUGUGAAAAACUCCGGUGGUAUGAGACGGACCCGCGUCUGAUUAGCUAGUUGGUGGGGUGACGGCCUACCAAGGCGACGAUCAGUAGCCGGCCUGAGAGGGUGAACGGCCACAUUGGGACUGAGACACGGCCCAAACUCCUACGGGAGGCAGCAGUGGGGAAUAUUGCACAAUGGGGGAAACCCUGAUGCAGCGACGCCGCGUGAGCGAAGAAGUAUUUCGGUAUGUAAAGCUCUAUCAGCAGGGAAGAAAAUGACGGUACCUGACUAAGAAG